Long non-coding RNA from Helianthus annuus (common sunflower), 527 nucleotides. RefSeq lists it as uncharacterized. The record is from RefSeq and is a predicted model, not a curated record. NCBI's taxonomy places the organism in Eukaryota, Viridiplantae, Streptophyta, Magnoliopsida, Asterales, Asteraceae. The transcript is spliced from 4 exons.
ACACAAACACACAUUCGUGUGUGUUCUACGUCGAUCAGAAGCUCCCAAAGGAGCCAAACCCUAGCUCAAGCUUAUUUGCUCAAAUUGAAAGGGGAAUUCAACCCAAAUCUAAUGCAUGUACCCGAAUUCUUAGUCAUCUAGCCCUAAAGAUCACUUGAAUAGGAACCACACUAGCAUGGACCAAGCAUGGAAGGCUAACGGGUCAAGAUGAGGCAAGCAAGCGGGUAUGAACACGGAUGCACAAGGAAUGAGUACAUCGGAUUCUUAUGAAAUUUAAGCCCAACCCGGAAUAAGAGGAUGAGUGAUACACGGACUUCUUCCGCUACUUAGGAGGUGAAGCGGACGUAAAUCGAGUCAAGAGCAAGGAUUGCACGGAUAGAUCGACCAUAUAGUUGAAAUAUAUAACGUCUAGAAAUGUAAAUUUUAGUAUGAAUGUUGUGAAUUCUUUUAUAGAACGUUUAACAUUUUAGCUUUUGGAACCUUCUCGAAAGUAAUGUCGUUAAUAAGGAAGGAAAUUUUUAAAGCUC